AUGCAAGAGUCGAAACUGAAGGAAAUAACACUGAGGAUUGCGGACUAUGAGGACGAAGCCCUGCCAGAGCUGCUGCACUUUAUUUACAGUGGAAUGUUUAAGACAAGCGAUCCUGUUCUGCUUCUGAAAGUGAUGCGCGUUGCUGAUAAAUUUGAAGUUGUCCACUGCAUGAGCUAUUGCAGCCAGCUGUUGAUUAGUCUGCCGAUGACAAAGGAGUUAGCUCUCUUGUACCUUGAUUACAAUCACUCGGUCUCGAUAUCAAACGCUCUUCAGCCUGUGAAGAUAGCAGCUCAGGAAUUUUUGGCUGACAAGUCUGAAGCUGAGGUUUUGGAUAUGCCUCUCUCAGGGAUCAGAGCUAUAUUCUCGAGCAAUAAUUUGGAGGUGUUGGAGGAGGACUUCGUCUGGGAUUUCCUGCUGAAAUGGGCUCAUGCAAAGUAUCCAGAAUCUGCAGAAAGGCAUAGGAUCUUGAUCAAAUCUUUAGUGCCAUUAAUACGUUUGAACCAGAUGAGUUGUGGGAAACUUCUGUCACUUUUGUCUUGCUAG
Molecule: ribosomal RNA, 543 nt
Filed under: Triticum aestivum (bread wheat)
Lineage: Eukaryota; Viridiplantae; Streptophyta; Magnoliopsida; Poales; Poaceae
Description: partial small subunit ribosomal RNA
Source: RNAcentral